RNAcentral lists this long non-coding RNA (1197 nucleotides) under Calidris pygmaea (Spoon-billed sandpiper). RNAcentral describes it as "lncRNA (ENSCPGG00000001691.1)". Lineage: Eukaryota; Metazoa; Chordata; Aves; Charadriiformes; Scolopacidae. The record is from RNAcentral.
AUGUGCCUGGGGGGCAAGGCAAAAGAGAAAGUCCUUCGAGGCCAGAGACACACACCCCACACCCCCCCGGGACUCGGCAUUUCCCGCCCAAUUCUCCCCCCGCCGGGGGAGGUGGAUUUUGGCAGCCCCACAGGGAGGAUGCGGGGGGGGGGGGGGGCGGGCGAGGUGGGAGAAGGGCAGGGACCAGUGCCCCAGCGCCGAGGGGCUUGGCCUGUCCCCGUUCGAAAGGCAGGAGAAAGGGGAAAAAGAAAUAACAACAACAAUAAUAAUAAUAAUAACGAUAACAACAACCACCCCCCCCCCCCAGAGAAUAAAGGCAGCCCUGUGGAGGCCCUGCUGGGGGAGGCUGCGCCUCGGGCCUGCGGCGGGCACACAGGAGGCCGGCGGGGACGCCCCGGGCGAGCUAACGGGACCGCCCCGGGGCGGCGAGGGACGGGGCAAGGGGACCCGCCGCUCCCUCCCCGGGCAGCCCCCGCCGCCAGGGCCUCUUCCACGCCGCCUUGCCUUUCCCCCUCCCUCCCCCGCCACGUUUCCCCCGGGCCCGGCACACGCCGCCGGCGCCACCAUCACCGCCGCCUCCCGGCGCGGGCAGGCCCGGUGGCGGAGGCCGCCCCUCGGCGGUGGCGGGCUGGCUUUGUCUCCCGAGCGCCUCCACCGCGCUGUGCCGCUGCCCCCGCCCCCCCCUCCCCCGGCGCAGCCUUCCUUCCCCGCGGUAAAGCCCGCUUUCUCCGGGGCCCUCCCUCCGUGCAACCACCGGGGCCGCGACCCCGCUCCGCCCGUUACCCCCCGCCGCCAAGGAAGCGGCAGCCUAUAGACCCGGGGGGGGGGGGGNNNNNNNNNNNNNNNNNNNNNNNNNNNNNNNNNNNNNNNNNNNAGAGAGAGAGAGGGAGGGAGGGCGGGGGUGGGUGGGUGGAUGGGGAGGGAGGGAGGGAGCGGCGGCGCGGCGCAGGGCGGGCGCGGCGGCGGCUGGUGGGGCUGGGCUGGGCUGAGCCGAGCAGUGCGCGCCGGCGGCUGACGGGGCACACAGAGCGCAGGACGCCGCCGCCUACGCGCCAGCUGCAACCUCCGACCGUCGUCGCCGCUCAGCCACAGGAAGGGGGGCCAAGACGUCUCUCCAACGCGGGGCUAGCGCAGGACCGCGCCAGGCGUCCAAACGAAGGAAGAUGCCUCGCGGCGACAGAGAAAGCGACUGGGUGA